CUGCGGCGGAUUAGCUAGUUGGUGGGGUAACGGCCUACCAAGGCGAUGAUCCGUAGGGGGCGUGAGAGCGUGGCCCCCCACACUGGCACUGAGACACGGGCCAGACUCCUACGGGAGGCAGCAGUGAGGAAUAUUGCACAAUGGGCGCAAGCCUGAUGCAGCAACGCCGCGUGAGGGACGAAGGCCUUCGGGUCGUAAACCUCUUUUCUGGGGGACGAGUAAGGACGGUACCUCAGGAAUAAGUCUCGGCUAACUACGUGCCAGCAGCCGCGGUAAAACGUAGGAGGCGAGCGUUAUCCGGAUUUACUGGGCGUAAAGCGCGCGCAGGUGGCUUCGUGAGUCGGACAUGAAAGCUCCUGGCUUAACUGGGAGAGGCUGUUCGAUACUGCGGGGCUUGAGGUUGGGAGAGGGACGCGGAAUUCCCGGUGUAGUGGUGGAAUGCGUAGAUAUCGGGAGGAACACCAGUGGCGCAAGCGGCGUCCUGGCCCACACCUGACGCUGAGGUGCGAAAGCGUGGGUAGCAAACAGGAUUAGAUACCCUGGUAGUCCACGCUGUAAACGAUGUCAACUGGGUGUCGGUAGUUUUACACUAUCGGUGCCGAAGCUAACGCG
This 612-nucleotide ribosomal RNA is filed under the name uncultured bacterium. RNAcentral's name for it is "bacterial SSU rRNA". It matches the Rfam family "Bacterial small subunit ribosomal RNA", at positions 231 to 859 of the family's 1533-position model. The record is from RNAcentral.